CAGCAGCCGCGGUAAUUCGAAGGGGGCUAGCGUUGCUCGGAAUUACUGGGCGUAAAGGGAGCGUAGGCGGAUCGUUUAGUCAGGGGUGAAAUCCCGGGGCUCAACCUCGGAACUGCCUUUGAUACUGGCGAUCUUGAGUAUGGGAGAGGUGUGUGGAACUCCGAGUGUAGAGGUGAAAUUCGUAGAUAUUCGGAAGAACACCAGUGGCGAAGGCGACACACUGGCCCAUUACUGACGCUGAGGCUCGAAAGCGUGGGGAGCAAACAGGAUUAGAUACCCCCGUAGUCCCUGUCUCUUAUAC
This 301-nucleotide ribosomal RNA is filed under the name uncultured bacterium. Its description in RNAcentral is "partial 16S ribosomal RNA". It matches the Rfam family "Bacterial small subunit ribosomal RNA", at positions 509 to 807 of the family's 1533-position model. The record is from RNAcentral.